RNA transcript from Hylaeus volcanicus, 1210 nucleotides. RefSeq lists it as uncharacterized. NCBI's taxonomy places the organism in Eukaryota, Metazoa, Arthropoda, Insecta, Hymenoptera, Colletidae. The record is from RefSeq and is a predicted model, not a curated record. The transcript is spliced from 4 exons.
CUUUCAUGAGCAUGCGAUGGAACGACGCGCACGCCAGAAUCACCAGAAUCGACGUCAGUGAUUGACCGCGCGUAGAGGAACGAGGAUGUCUGUCCGCACAUACGUCGGAUUAAUUACUCCAACGUUACUCGUGGUUGAUGCACCGCAGGACGCAUCUCGAAACCCGCACGCAGACGGCAACCCCGAAGCUCGCACUAGAAACACCCUCGCCAGCACUCCAGAGUACUCGAUCGCACUCACGUCGACGGAUCAUGAUGUUUCCAACGAGCACUGAUUCAAGGUGUAUGCGGACUUUCCAGGCUGGAAGAGGUGAUCAUGCCAGUGGAUCGAGUCGUACUGUCCAGACAUUGCAAUGGAGGAGCACUAGUAGAGAAGUAGAAGUGAUAAACAUGAUGCUUACAAAAUUUCUUAAAUCUAAGUUUUACAAUAGUAUCUUAGGUCUAGUUUUAUAAUAAUGGACUUGUUAUAUAAUGUUGCAAUUAGCCUAUACAUGUUGGUGUGUCUUCCAUGAGAUGAGGGAUUUUGCAGAAGUCGAGAUACAGGACACUUUCGGAUGUCAUAUCGAAGGAUCCCCUCUUAUAUCAAAUGGUGCAUUCCACCCGUCUGCAUCGCGUGUGCGGGCCCUGUCACCAGUGCAUUUGUCACCGUGACUUGUAUCUUCCUAAUGGUUCGUUCAAUGAUGCGCUAACCCCGUCUUCGUUGCAUCCGAGGUGUUCGCACAAGCCGAAGUUAUGCAUUUUCUCGAUGGGCACGUAUAGGCGGACAAAAACUCCAGAGGAAUUCUUCAAUCACGUCAUCAGCGACGGCACUCAGUUAAUGUUUGGACUGGCAGUAUUGGUAAUUGCUUAGUAGGAGCUCGUGCACUUGUGUCCAGUAUGUUUUGGAAUAAAUACUUCGAAACUUGGAAUUGCGUUGCGUUUCUUAACGUUAAAUUCGAACGUGCGUUCUAACCGCUGGAGCAUGAUGAUCAAUAACUUUUUUUGUAUCGUACCGACCAUUCGUCACUCGUUGUCUCCUCGAAGCGAGUUCCGAUUCAUUAUAUUUAUUACGCAGUUUUUCGCUCUCGCGAAAAUCCUGGCCGUUUUGUCGCCCGUUAUCUACACGCUUGACAAAUAGUCCGUGUAUACAGCACAAAAACAUUCAAAAGUUUUGUAACGCGGACAUUGUAAAUACCGCUCGCUUUUGUUCUCGUGCCGUUAGCACAAAUAAA